Molecule: ribosomal RNA, 253 nt
Filed under: uncultured bacterium
Lineage: Bacteria
Description: partial 16S ribosomal RNA
Rfam family: Bacterial small subunit ribosomal RNA
Source: RNAcentral
UACGUAGGUGGCAAGCGUUGUCCGGAAUUAUUGGGCGUAAAGAGCUCGUAGGCGGUUUGUCGCGUCUGCCGUGAAAGUCCGGGGCUCAACCCCGGAUCUGCGGUGGGUACGGGCAGACUUGAGUGCAGUAGGGGAGACUGGAAUUCCUGGUGUAGCGGUGAAAUGCGCAGAUAUCAGGAGGAACACCGAUGGCGAAGGCAGGUCUCUGGGCUGUAACUGACGCUGAGGAGCGAAAGCAUGGGGAGCGAACAGG